This 453-nucleotide ribosomal RNA is filed under the name uncultured Lactobacillus sp. Its description in RNAcentral is "bacterial SSU rRNA". It matches the Rfam family "Bacterial small subunit ribosomal RNA", at positions 1 to 459 of the family's 1533-position model. The record is from RNAcentral. Lineage: Bacteria; Bacillati; Bacillota; Bacilli; Lactobacillales; Lactobacillaceae.
UCGGCUUAGAGUUUGAUCCUGGCUCAGGACGAACGCUGGCGGCAUGCCUAAUACAUGCAAGUCGAACGAAUUGGUGCUUGCAUCAUUGAGUGGCGAACUGGUGAGUAACACGUGGGAAACCUGCCCAGAAGUGGGGGAUAACACCUGGAAACAGAUGCUAAUACCGCAUAACAACUUACCGCAUGGUCGAGUUUGAAAGAUGUUCGUAUCACUUUUGGAUGGUCCCGCGGCGUAUUAGCUAGAUGGUGAGGUAACGGCUCACCAUGGCAAUGAUACGUAGCCGACCUGAGAGGGUAAUCGGCCACAUUGGGACUGAGACACGGCCCAAACUCCUACGGGAGGCAGCAGUAGGGAAUCUUCCACAAUGGACGAAAGUCUGAUGGAGCAACGCCGCGUGAGUGAAGAAGGGUUUCGGCUCGUAAAACUCUGUUGUUAAAGAAGAACAUAUCUGAG